Molecule: ribosomal RNA, 253 nt
Filed under: uncultured bacterium
Lineage: Bacteria
Description: partial 16S ribosomal RNA
Rfam family: Bacterial small subunit ribosomal RNA
Source: RNAcentral
UACGUAGGUGGCAAGCGUUGUCCGGAUUUACUGGGCGUAAAGAGCGCGCAGGCGGUCGUUCAAGUCGCGUGUGAAAUCCCACGGCUCAACCGUGGAAGUGCACUCGAAACUGCAUAGCUAGAGUCCUGGAGAGGAAGGUGGAAUGCUUGGUGUAGAGGUGAAAUUCGUAGAUAUCAAGCGGAACACCGGUGGCGAAGGCGGCCUUCUGGACAGUGACUGACGCUGAGACGCGAAAGCGUGGGGAGCAAACAGG